UGCCUUAACCGUCUGGGAAUGCAGCCCAAUAGGUCUCAGCCUCAUUUUACCCAGCCCCUAUUCAAGAUGGAGUUGCUCUGGUUCACGUGCCUCUGACAUUUCCAAUAAGGAUGGACCUAUCUGGAGGGUACAGGAGCCUGGUUUAUGUGAACCAUGAAAAGCAGCUUCCUGAGAGGAAAAGAACCAAAUUCAUUGCCUGUGAUUUUCUGACCGAGUGGUUAUACAACCAAAAUCCAAAGAGGGCAGGGGAGCCAUUCACAGAAUUUUUCUCCAUUCCAUUUGUGGAGGAGCGGCUAAAGCAACACCCACGGCCGCCAAUCCCACUCUCGCUCCUGCUGACAGAAGAGGAAGCAGCCCUCUACAUUCAAUCCUUCUGGAGAGCCUGUGUGGUUCGCCGUGAUCCUGAGAUUCAAGAACUGCGUCAGUGGCAGAAGAAACUUCGCGAGGCCAAGCACAUUCACCAGCGAGUCAAAAUUUUCUGGGCCAAGCAAGAACAAAAAGUGAAAUGCAAAAUGGAGGACGAUGCAGUACCUGCAGCCAAGAUGAAAAUUCCAUCAUCUUAACCAUAGCUAAGACGUAUCUUUGCCCAUUCGAGCACAAGUUACCUUGUGCAAGGAAAAUGUCCAAAUGAUGCUCUCUCUCUUGUGAUUUCUUUAACAAGACUUGGAACAUGUGAAAAUGGAAU
RNAcentral lists this small RNA (685 nucleotides) under Pan troglodytes (chimpanzee). Its description in RNAcentral is "processed transcript". The record is from RNAcentral. Lineage: Eukaryota; Metazoa; Chordata; Mammalia; Primates; Hominidae.